CAGGGACCAGGGAGCCACGUUGGCCGAGUUGCGCCGCGGACUACAGCUCCCAGCAUGCAGCGGCACUCCCAGCAUGCACCUCCCUCCCGAGACGCGCUCUGUUUCCGGCGCUCUGCUGCGGAGGCGGUGGCCGCGGGUUGUUGGGAGGAACCGAUACGUGCGCUUGGGAAGGCGAGUUCUGAGCUCUCCAGCGUCGUCGUCUGGAGGGGGAGCCGGAGGCCUUAACCCCUUUGCCACCUGUUAGGGCUUUCAUCCCACCGGGCCCCAGGGGUUAGGAGCCCAGCAGGCUCAGCAUCUUGCUGUGAUUCUGGAAAAGAGAGUGACCGCCUGGCCCAGCGCCUCUCCGUGGCGAGUUCGGGAGGCCUGGGACACAAGACGGCUCCGAGGGAGGAGCUUGAGGGAGCGGCGUCGCAGAGAUGGCCGGGGACCUGGUCCUGGUGGCUGGACGGUGACCCCGUGGACCCACAUUUACAGCUGUAGCCACUGAGUGCCGCGGAGUGGUGAGGGUCGUGAUCCUGGGACCUGCUCGAGGAUUCACCCUUGCUGCCAGAACCUGUUCCCUUCUCAGGAACGAAGGUGGUCAGGCAGGGGAGGAGAACGGGGCCUCAACCGUCUAGUGACAGCAGUUUGCCACCUAAUAGAGCUUUUCAGAUUUUGCCUCCUCAGGCCAUUUUACCCAGCCUCGGGCUAUGAAGAAUGGUCACACUGAAGGUAUUUUUCUGCAGUCAGGAGCGAAAAGUCCCUACUAUUGAAGGAGAAACUGAAUGUGGUUCAGGAGUCCCAGGUUCCUCCCUCUGAGAGGCCAGGUGGGGCCUGCGUGAGGAGCAGUUGUACAGGUGGUAGUACACUGUACAUCCCGCCAGACCUCAGGCCCCUGAUGAGGGGUCCAGAGUGCUUAUCUCCUUGCUUCAGUCUGGAAAAGGGAAUGACCCCAUAGCCCAGCACCUGUGGGAUGCUUCAUUGCCCGGAUGCUUCAUCGCCCAUUCCUCACCCCUAUGAUGCUGAUUCUUCCAGAAGAUGUUUCUGAUUCCUUGCUAGGCUGGUGGUUGCACCGUAGCUGAGAGGAGUCAAGAAGAGUCUGGUCUCUGCUCCACCUAGGGGUCCCGGAGAAGUAAGAACUACGUAUCUUCCCUGUCCUGGGUACUUGGCUGCUGGUUUGCCCAGGUGCCACAUAUGGGUGGGUAGCAGAACUGAGGCUGGCCCAGUAUCCUGACUCUCCUUGGAAGCCUGUGUUAUGCCCUUCUCCCAGGCUGAUAAAAUCUGCAGAGCUAACAGCUUCCUGCAGCCACGUCUGUGUCCAAGGCUGGACCCAUGCCUGUAGCCAGAUUCCCAGGAUCUGGAAGGGCCAAGAGACAGCAGCCCGGUGUCAGCAUGCCCCCCACCAGCAACCCCCCACCAGCACCCCAUGCUGUGAUUUGCCUAUGUGGUCUGUUCCCUGCCCAAACCGGUAUUGAAAUUUGAUCCCCAAUGUGGCAGUGUUGGGAGGUGGUACCUAGUAGGAGGAGUUUGGGUAAUAGGCUGGAUCCCUCAUGAAGAGAUAAGUACCCUGUGUGGAGGGGUGAGCCCCCAUGAGAGCUGGUUAGAGAGGCAGCCUUUCUGCAGUCGUCUCUGGCUUCCUCUGGCACUGUGUUCCCAUGCCAUCUCCACGCAUGCCCCUCCCCUUCCACUUGCUGCCAUGAAUUGAAGUAGCAUGAGGCCCUCAGCAGUUGCGGCUGCCCAGUCUUGAAAUUUCCACCAGAAUUUUGUGCCAAAUAAACCUGUUUUGCUUUUUUCUAAACAACUACUCAACCUCAGGUAUAGCAACAUGAAACAGACUAAGACAUUAUGGCCUGUGGUCCCAUCCAUUACCCCAGGGUGCAGAGGUGUUCCCUCAGCCAUGAAGGACGGCAUUCCCCUCUGGCCCCUGGGGUAUCUGGAGAGGUUGUAAGCAGCCUAGGUCAGUGGGAUGAGAAAGGGUUUGGAGGGCAGCUGGUUCAUGACCCCAGCGGCCUCAAUUGCAGCUUCUUGGUCUGAAGUACAGUGAUAAAAGCAUUACAGCCCCAGGGCCCUCCCCAAAGGAGGGAACGGGGGUAAUAGGAAGAUGAGGGGCCUUCAGGCAUGACUAGUUCCCACCAUGACCCCCCUGCUGGCCAGUGCACUGAAAUACAUCUGACCACUUGUUUCUCAAGUUCAUGGGUGUUGAGGAGCCCUGUGAAAUCAGACCUAUCUGGCUCCUCUCAUCCUGCUGCGCGUCUUGUUCAGGGAAAUGUUCCCUGGCUUCCUCACCAGGGAUCUCUUCUGAACUUUACCUCUCUGUUCAGGGGGCAAUAACUGCUGGUCAUUGCAUUCUCAUGGCGAAACAGAUUAAAAUUGAGCGUCUUGUCCACAUACUGCCCAGAGUUAGCAGGGACUGCUCUUCUGUGCGUUUGUCCUCCCUUUUCCUGACCAAAAGGUUCCAGCUGAAGGAAUCUUCCCAGGCAGGGCUGAAACAGGAACCAUUUUGGUAUUUACUGCCACCCAUGGUUGGUUCUCCGAGGAGAGUGAAGAGGUCCCAGCUGGGGCAGCCGUUAGCAGCUCAGUGGGAUAAACCUGUGUAAGACACGUUGAGAUGCUGAGUUUGUGAUCCUCACACGUCUCAGCAGUAGGUAUUUCUGCCCCAUUUUACCAACGAGUAACCACAUAGCUGUGGGUAGUGAGGCAGGAAGGUAGGAUCUGGGUGCAGGGGACAUAGGCCGAAGCACACUUCAGUCAUGACAGGAAAUACCCUCUCCAGAGGGCGUAGGCCAAAGAAAGGACUUGGUGAUGACGUCAUCCUCCCCAUCUUCAUAGGGUGUACCCCAGGUAACCCCAAGUAACCAAUGGAAUCCUCUAGUGGGUAUUUUCUCCCAAAAAUUCUAUAAUGGCAUUUAUGUGCACUGCACAGGCCUGCUCCCACACUGGAGCGCACUUCCAUUUCCAGCAAAUCCCUUCAUUCCUGCUUUGCUCUGUGUGUGUGUUGUCCAGUUCUUUGUUUGAGAUGCCAAGAACUGCCGGGCGCCGUGGCUCAUGCCUGUAAUCCCAGCACUUUGGGAGGCCGAGGCGGGUGGAUCACAAGGUCAAGAGAUCGAGACCAUCCUGGCCAACAUGGUGAAACCCCAUCUCUACUAAAUACAAAAAAAAUUAGGUGGGCACGGUGGCGCAUUCCUGUAAUCCCAGCUACUCAGGAGGCUGAGACAGGAGAAUCGUUUGAACCCAGGAGGCGGAGGUUGCGGUGAGCCGAGAAUGUGCCAUUGCACUCCAGCCUGGGUAACAAGAGCGAAACUCCGUCUCAAAAAAAAAAAAAAAAAAAAAAAAAGAUGCCAAGAACCUGGAUGUCCUUCACUGGUAACAGGACACGUCGGCGCCUUAGAUAGGGACAGCCAGUGUGAAAGCAGGUGACCUCAGCCACUUCGUCACUGCAACAUGAGGGUGGUUCUUUGUUGGCAGUAUUUUAGAUUGAGCUUUUCUUCCAUCAUACGUGUAACACAUGCCCAGUAAACCAAAUAGUGGGAAUAAGUAAAUAUGCUCCCCAUGGGGAUUCUCUUCCUGUUGCUAUGAAGUGAAGUGGUUGUGUGUUCUUCAGUUUUCUUGUGAGCCUGAUGCAGAGAAUGUCCACAGCUGACUGGUUCUCCGAGGUGAGCAUGUUUCAGAUGUGGGCGAUUUUCUGCAUUGCGGGUGUUGUAUUCCCUCCACACUUGGGAAUUGUUUUCUGUUUGCUUAUUCAUUUGGAACAAGGAGAGGUUUAUCUGGGCCUGGCUGGGUGGGUGGGUGGUAGUGAUCUUAGCACUCUGCCUGUGCCUGUUAAAAGCCCCUGAGAUCUGUGCUGGGCCUGGCCACUCUGUGGACACCCUUGCCAGGCUCCACCUUUAGCUGGUGUGUCCCUGCUCUUGGGCUUCUGUCUGACCAGGUGAUGAUUUAGAGAGACGGUGGGAAGUGGGGGGUGGGGAGCUUAACAGCUGACAUCAGAUUCCUCUUAGUAAAAGAACAGUCUGUUAGGGAAAUCACCUUGGUGGGUGUUUAGGUCAGGGCCCUCAGGGCGUGGGUACUUGAGGUGGCUUAGCUUGCUGGGUGGAAGGUCCGAUGGGGAGGGAAGAGAGAUGGUGGGGAGAAAACGGAUAAAGAAAUGAGACUGAGUUGCGGGAUUGGGGGGGAUGAAGAUGGGGGGCCCCUGAGUGUAGGAGAAUGAGGAUGCCUUGAGGGAUGGGAACUUCUUCACUCUCCACACCUCAUAUCCCCAAGUUUAUUUCCUGUUGCUGUAACAAUAACAGACUGGGAAAUUUAUAAUGAAAAUAAACGUCUUUCUUAUCGUUCUGGAGGCCGGGAAGUCCAAAGUUGAGGGGCAGGAAUCUGGCGAAUGACUUCUUGCCACAUAAUUUGUUGGAAACGGGUUUAAAACGUUGGGAAAAACCCACACUGAGACAAUGGGUCACUCAGCAAGGCCAGUUUACUUCCUGCAGGAAGGGUGCAGCUCACCAGCAGAGCACACCUGAAUGAGGAGACAGGGACAUUCACCGUUUCCUAACCCGACGCAGUCGCCCUACUGCUGCGUCCAGUUUCCAUUGGCCAGAACGGGACCUCACGCUCUGCUUGACCCGAUUGGCUAAACACUUGGGAAUUUUCAAGGUAGAGGCAGAGGAGCACAAAGGAAGAGGAAGUAACGUGAGGAAUGCUUCAGAUGCCACAACUUUUCCAAAUAAGGAAGGGAAUAAGCUUUGACCAAGCCCAGGCAUGUCCGGGCAGGUAUCUAGGUUAAAGUUGAAGGACGGGAUGCACUUACUUCUUUUAUUAUGACUACCAGCUACUUCAUUAGCAAAAGCUUUAAAAUAAAUUAACCUUUGAAGAAACCGUUAUUUAUUCAUAAUGAACUACAAGGAAAGCUUUGAAGAGGAACCUUUUCUUUAUUAUUUCCCACAUCAUUCCAUGGUGGAAGGUGGAGGAGUGGGAGGACACACGAGGGAGAGGCAGCUAAACUGGUUUCACGGGCGUGCGCUCUGGCAGUGACAGAAUCCGUUCCGGAAGGCGGAGCCCCAGCCACUUAGUUCCACCUCUGAAGACCAUCACAACGGCAAUUAAGUUUCAACGUGAACUUUGGAGGAACCAUUGAAACCGUAGCAAGCACUGUCCACUGAGUUUUCAUUUUUUAUUUUGGUAACUGCUUUUUAAAGCAUAUCCUGGGUGUCUGGCUGGUUCAUUUUUAUAAACUACCCGCCCUUGUUUCACAA
This is a non-coding RNA of Callithrix jacchus (white-tufted-ear marmoset), 5219 nucleotides long. Lineage: Eukaryota; Metazoa; Chordata; Mammalia; Primates; Cebidae. The record is from RefSeq and is a predicted model, not a curated record.